GCCACAAGAGUCACGCUGUUACCCUUCCUGCCUCCUCCUCGCUCAUUUACUUUCCAGACACCACGGAGGGCAGGUGUGGCGGCCGCUGCUGGGAAUAUAGUGAAGGAUUAAUUAAAAAGGUGCUGUGUCGAGAGGCUUGACGGGGACGAGCCAGUGUUGCCAACUAGCCAGGAGUGAGAGCAACCUUUGAGAUCCCUGCCCAGCGUGGGGAAGGAAGGGAGGCACCAGUGUGAGGAGCGUUGGGAGGCUGCAGCUGGUGUAGUGGUGUGGUGAGCGAAGGAGCGUGUUGGAUUCAAGUGUGUCAUCAGUGGACUGUGCAGGUUAGAAUUAUGUGCAGUCAGUUAGUCCUGCGAGAGUGCCUUCAAGAUAUCCAAUUUUUAUCAAGUUGAUACACCCGCGUUCAGUGGUGCGCAGAAGCUUGUCCUUCCCGCCCGUUGCCGUCGCAGCGUUGAGUGCUCCGUAACAACGGUCUGCUGCUGAUGAUGUUCUACCGAGGCGAAACCUGGAAAGUAGAAAACAGAUUGGUCAGAAGGGUAUAUUAUAAGUAACCGGUUGAGUCCUAAAUCUUGCCUUCUGGAUGAAAGGAAAACUGUCCUAAUUAAAUUACAUAUCUGCAUAUAAAAAAAAAU
RNAcentral lists this long non-coding RNA (629 nucleotides) under Portunus trituberculatus (swimming crab). RNAcentral describes it as "uncharacterized LOC123502112, transcript variant X1". Lineage: Eukaryota; Metazoa; Arthropoda; Malacostraca; Decapoda; Portunidae. The record is from RNAcentral.